Molecule: unclassified non-coding RNA, 19 nt
Filed under: Mus musculus (house mouse)
Lineage: Eukaryota; Metazoa; Chordata; Mammalia; Rodentia; Muridae
Source: RNAcentral
GCGAGAGGCUAGUCUUAUU